Rattus norvegicus (Norway rat) is the source of this 403-nucleotide non-coding RNA. The record is from RefSeq and is a predicted model, not a curated record. Lineage: Eukaryota; Metazoa; Chordata; Mammalia; Rodentia; Muridae.
GCCCCAGUCACACUAGAUCGUCAACCAGCUGAAGGGGGAUGAGAUUAUUCCCUCUGAAGGAAAUUUUAAAAAAGAAGAAAGAAAGAAAGAAAAAAGCCACAAUGCAGUUCCCAAUUUGAAUACGAACAGACACUGCUGCUGUUUGAAAAGGCAAAUCGGACCGAUGACUACACGAAAGAGAAAGCAUGGACGGCAAAAUGUCAAUUCCUCUACUGGCUCUGUAACUCACAGGACACUUGACGGGCUGGUGCAUUUGUCCUAGCGGACAGAAAGACUAAUGAAAGAAGCAGCUGAACAAUUUUUUUAUCUGUCUUAUUCAGGCAUACUAAUGGCUACCAACUUUCUCUCAAAACAGUUAUUUUAAAAGUAAAUACAUAUGAUUAAUCCUAAUUCCAAUUCUAAA